Molecule: long non-coding RNA, 2051 nt
Filed under: Oryctolagus cuniculus (rabbit)
Lineage: Eukaryota; Metazoa; Chordata; Mammalia; Lagomorpha; Leporidae
Description: lncRNA (ENSOCUG00000031255.1)
Source: RNAcentral
GUCCGGGUGUGGGAGGAGCCUGGGUGUGGGCGGGGCCAGGGUGCCAGAGGGGGACCUGGAGCGCAGAAGGUGAUGGCAGUCUUGUUUUCUGAUGUCCUUAGCAGAAUGACCGUUCAGUUAAUGUAUUGAACAUCUGCUCUAAAUACUGCCCCGCAUUAACCCUCCACCUCUCGUCUCGCAGCAACACCCGGGUGAGUUCUGCCGUGACUCCCACUUCACAGAUUAGGAAACGGGGGCUGGGGGAGUUACGGAGCCACAGACUGACAGCUCCCGGCGGCAGGAGCAGCCCCUGGGGGCGCCAGUGAGGAGGGCGGCGGCCUGCAGUGCCCCGUGAGCACGGAGGAGCGCAGGUGGGCCCUGUGCACGCCCCUGCGUUCCUUAUUGCUUCCCUGCAGCUGCGAGUCGUUCGCUCGCAAGCCUGAGGUUCUCAAUCUUAAAAUAGCCCCAGAUUUUUCGCUGCUUAGAGACUGCUUUCUCUACACUCCCCACAACACCUGACCCAACAGCAGCGCCCCUGCUGCGGGGCCUUAUGUGCCCAAGACGCUGAACAAGCCGGCCCGCUGGGCACGGCCCUGAACCGGCCAGCAGACUGACCGACCAGCAAAAGGGCGACAGUGGCUGCUUCAGAGCGGCCGGAGGGACCCAGCGGACACCUGUCCAGAAAGUCACCCUGGAGCCACCGUGCUGGCACAAAAGACCAGAAACCCUCGGCUGGAUGAAGGUCAGCGACAGUAUCCACGGGCAAGCUGCGCUCGGUCCCUGGGGGGCGAGCGAGUGACCCGCGCCCAGAGCAACGGGCACGCGCCUCCCGGAGCGGGCCUGAGGAAGACGCCAGACAGGAAACGCGCCCGGCAUAGCCGAGUUUCUGUGAGGGCCUCAGAGGCCCGGCCACCGACCGCAGCCGACCUAGACGGGACCCGGGGGCCUGCUGGACACCCUGCGGUUGUCUCAACCAGGGUCUGCCGGCUUCCGGGAGAAGAGCGCUGCCCAGGACAGCUGCCGCCCGCACUCAGCCGGGUGGGCGCCCAGGUCUGGUCCGCGGUGUCGACAGCAAGGCGGAGAACCCGUUCCCUCCAGGCCGCACCCGUGCGCCCGGCGCCCCUGGUCUUCACCCCCGUGGGCUCUUUCAUUCACCACGGCCAGGCCUGCAGGACACAGGCAGAUGCAGGCAAGACCCUGGAGCUGGCAGUGGUCGUCGGUGAUGUCGGAGCAGCCUUUGACCCAGAGCGUGAACACUACGGUGGUCCCUAGAGGCGGGGGCACCUGAGCGCCUCGGCCCAGCAAGCAGCACCAGCACCCAGUCAGCUGCACGGCCAGGGCCGCGGGGCUCGGAACUUGCCUGCCUCUCCAGGUCAGCCAUCAGGGGAUGACAGACAGGUGCGGCCGACCCAGGGUAGACAGGCAGGCACCCCUGCCUCACCCAGGAGGACCAGGCCUGGGUCCUCCUCCUCCAGGCCGGGCCCAGACCCCACUCCUCUCUGGAGCGGAGUGCUGCCUGCCUCAGUUUCCGCUGAGCAGAGGCAAAAGCAGCCAGAAGGGACGCGGUAACCGCGUGCAGACAGAGCAAGAGCGAGGGCCGGAGCAGAAGGAGGAGAGCGCCAGCCCGGGGGGAGAGCACCAGAACCUGGCAGGGCGGCUCCUGCCCUCAGCCGCCAGGCAGGGCACUGAGGCUGGGCUAGUGUGUUAGGAAGACACCGGACCAAGGCUGUGGGAUAGCGAGUAAAGCUGCCGCCUGCAGUGCCAUAUGGGUGCCAGCUCAAGAACCAGCUGCUCCACUUCUCAUGCAGCUCUCUGCUAUGGCUGGGAAAGCAGUACAAGAUGGUCCAAGUCCCUGGGCCCCUGCAUCCCCAUGGGAAACAACAACAACAAAAAAAAAGUGCCUGGCUCCUGGCUUCGGAUCAGCUCAGCUCCAGCCAGGGCGGCCAAUUGGAGAGCGAACCAGUGAGUGGAAGACAUCUCUCUCUCUCUCUCUCUCUCUCUCUUUCCUUUCUCUGUGUAACUCUGCCUUUCAGAUAAAUAAAUAAAUAUUUUCUAAAGGAAGAAGUGGACCU